Molecule: transfer RNA, 69 nt
Filed under: Favonigobius reichei (Indo-Pacific tropical sand goby)
Lineage: Eukaryota; Metazoa; Chordata; Actinopteri; Gobiiformes; Gobiidae
Description: tRNA-Asp
Rfam family: tRNA
About the family: Transfer RNA (tRNA) molecules are approximately 80 nucleotides in length. Their secondary structure includes four short double-helical elements and three loops (D, anti-codon, and T loops). Further hydrogen bonds mediate the characteristic L-shaped molecular structure. tRNAs have two regions of fundamental functional importance: the anti-codon, which is responsible for specific mRNA codon recognition, and the 3' end, to which the tRNAs corresponding amino acid is attached (by aminoacyl-tRNA synthetases). tRNAs cope with the degeneracy of the genetic code in two manners: having more than one tRNA (with a specific anti-codon) for a particular amino acid; and 'wobble' base-pairing, i.e. permitting non-standard base-pairing at the 3rd anti-codon position.
Source: RNAcentral
AAGAUACUAGUAUAGCAAAUACACUGCCUUGUCAAGGCAGAAUCGUGGGUUAAAACCCCGCGUAUCUUG